Long non-coding RNA from Diabrotica virgifera virgifera (western corn rootworm), 319 nucleotides. RefSeq lists it as uncharacterized. NCBI's taxonomy places the organism in Eukaryota, Metazoa, Arthropoda, Insecta, Coleoptera, Chrysomelidae. The transcript has 2 exons. The record is from RefSeq and is a predicted model, not a curated record.
UGUCAACAACUGUAUAGGCAAACAACAUUACAGUGAUUUGUCGGUUGUCUACCCAAUAGGUGGCUAAUUUCAUUUUUCCAACAAAGAAAAUUUUUGUCAAAUGAAAAAUAGCUCAGUAAUGUAUGAAUAGAUCACGUUGUUCUCUGAUGUAGCGCACUUCAACAUAACUGCACUCAUGAAGCCAGUUAUUGAAACCUAGUGGUUUGUACACGAUUUUCCAAGGAGGGAGGAAUAUAAUUAAAUCAAACACGAUCAUCUUGACUCAUUUCAUUAUAUUAAAACAUAAAAAUAUAAAACAAUAAAUGAGGUAAUAUGUAUA